Molecule: ribosomal RNA, 460 nt
Filed under: uncultured bacterium
Lineage: Bacteria
Description: partial 16S ribosomal RNA
Rfam family: Bacterial small subunit ribosomal RNA
Source: RNAcentral
CCUACGGGCGGCAGCAGUGAGGAAUAUUGGUCAAUGGGCGGGAGCCUGAACCAGCCAAGUCGCGUGAGGGAAGACGGUCCUAUGGAUUGUAAACCUCUUUAGGCGGGGAGCCAUGCCGGGCACGCGUGCCCGGAGGGAGAGUACCCGCAGAAUAAGCAUCGGCUAACUCCGUGCCAGCAGCCGCGGUAAUACGGGGGAUGCGAGCGUUAUCCGGAUUUAGUGGGUUUAAAGGGUGCGUAGGCGGAUUUUAAAGUCAGCGGUAAAAUGUCCGGGCUCAACCCGGGCCGGCCGUUGAAACUGGGGAUCUUGAGUGGGCGAGAAGUAUGCGGAAUGCGUGGUGUAGCGGUGAAAUGCAUAGAUAUCACGCAGAACUCCGAUUGCGAAGGCAGCAUACCGGCGCCCGACUGACGCUGAGGCACGAAAGCGUGGGGAUCGAACAGGAUUAGAUACCCUGGUAGUC